Molecule: long non-coding RNA, 878 nt
Organism: Acanthopagrus latus (yellowfin seabream)
Lineage: Eukaryota; Metazoa; Chordata; Actinopteri; Spariformes; Sparidae
Exons: 6
Source: RefSeq, a predicted model, not a curated record
CGUCAAAAGGGGCGGUCUCGCUCGUUUCCCGCGCGAAGUUAGCGUAUUUCCCUCCAAAACCGUAGAUGGCUUUAUUAACCCCUGAUGAAUCGUCACUCGGGUCCCUGCUGCUCUUCUCUGGGGACACGAACACGGUGAACAGUGGCACUUGUCUUCAGCUUCAGGUGGAACAGCUCUGACCUGUAUGGUGAUCAGACCCAGAGAGGAGACACACCUGGUCCAACAAGGUGAUGGACGGUUGAAAGGACGAAUCACCGAGACGAACAAGACGAGACAAACGAUGGAGACGAGCCGCCACAGGAGCCCGAAGGGAAAGUGACGAGAGCAGCCAGGAGCCAAAAGUGUGGGCAGAGGAACAGGCUGCUGAGGACCAGCUGGACGAUGGUUUCCUCAACUGAAUCCUGAUUACCUGUGUGGUUGGUGCUCGGCCCAGGACAGGAAGGCUCUGCAGCGGGUGAUCCAUCCAUCCACAGAGCAGACUUGUCUUCAGCUUCAGGUGGAACAGCUCUGACCUGUAUGGUGAUCAGACCCAGAGAGGAGACACACCUGGUCCAACAAGGUGAUGGACGGUUGAAAGGACGAAUCACCGAGACGAACAAGACGAGACAAACGAUGGAGACGAGCCGCCACAGGAGCCCAAAGGGAAAGUGACGAGAGCAGCCAGGAGCCGAAAGUGGGCAGAGGAACAGGCUGCUGAGGACCAGCUGGACGAUGGUUUCCUGAACUGAAUCCUGAUUACCUGUGUGGUUGGUGCUCGGCCCAGGACAGGAAGGCUCUGCAGCGGGUGAUCCAUCCAUCCACAGAGCAGACUUGUCUUCAGCUUCAGGUGGAACAGCUCUGACCUGUAUGGUGAUCAGACCCAGAGAGGAGACACACCU